Molecule: ribosomal RNA, 236 nt
Filed under: uncultured bacterium
Lineage: Bacteria
Description: partial 16S ribosomal RNA
Rfam family: Bacterial small subunit ribosomal RNA
Source: RNAcentral
UGAGCAAUCUGCCCUUCUCAUCGGAAUAAGCGUUGGAAACGACGUCUAAUGCCGAAUACGACCUCCUUUCGCAUGAUCGGGGGUGGAAAGCUCCGGCGGAGAAGGAUGAGCUCGCGGCCUAUCAGCUAGUUGGUGUGGGUAAUGGCCCACCAAGGCGACGACGGGUAGCCGGCCUGAGAGGGUGACCGGCCACACUGGGACUGAGACACGGCCCAGACUCCGUACGGGAGGNAGCG